GCUCGCUCCUCUACGGCGUUAGUGCAGGGCUUGCAGUUUUCAGGAGUGCUCCGUUCCUGUGCCGUCCUCCUCCGGCUUUUCCAUCUGCUUCAUUCUGUUUGGAAAAUGGCAAUGUAGAAUGUGUUUGGUGUAACCUUAAUCCUGACCAGCAUCUGGGCUCCGUUUAAAAAAAAAAAAAAGGCAUCUACUGCAGGCAAGGUUUCUGUAUAUGCUUCCCCGCUUCAGUAAAACAAAGUUGGGGAGGGGGGGGGAACAACAGCCAAAAAUAACAAUAGGAAAUAAUAUUUGUUUUAAUGGACAUUUGUAUUAAUACGUAGGUUUUAAUAUAUUUUCCUGCCUACGUGGGCAAACCGUGGUGCUUGUACUUUUCACCUCACCUCUCCUAGUGUUUCAUGUCAGAGGUAAACCGGAUUCGCACCAUUUCAGUAAGCAAAAGGGGGGGGGGUGUCUUUACAUCUUUUACCAACCACGCUGUUAAUUACUCACGAAAUACGUAAAAGUGAGUGCCACCAUUAAAAAAAAAACCCUAACGAAGUGAAAUUCCUGCCUGACGCCUUCUGACAUCUCCCUGUUAAACUUUUCCAGGCCUUUCACAGGUCCCCGGUGGAGACGCGAGUUUAUUCCAUGUUCCAGAAGGAAGCAACGAGGAUGAAAAUCGUGGCCAGGCUCAACUCUCCCUCCUGCUCAACUUGCUGUGAACAAAAGGCUCCGUUCCAGAUCCAGCCCGCAGUUGCCGUGAGAAACUUCUCUGCGAGCGCUGGCUGUCGCGCUGCCUCCCUCGCCUGCUCGCUGCCUCCCUGCCUCGGUAAAAUGGCAGUGCGAGAGCUUCAUGAAAAGGGUGAAAACCCUCCUUUCUCGGCCCCUGGCUCUCCAGCAGCACUCCCCCUGCCCUGUUCGUGACUCCUGAACUCCAACUUGGCUAAAAAUACACUUUCAGAGGGCAGAAUUGCACGGGAGUGAUUUUUUUUUUUAUUAUUUUUUCUUUUUUUUUUUCACUCCACUGAAAAGAGCAGCAGAGGGUGGGAGAAACACAGAGGGACAGACUUGCUCGGAGUCGGCAGCUCUCUGCGUGCUGGCGAACUCUCUGCUGGUUUCGCCUCCCUGCACGCUAUUGCCAGUUCCCAAGUACUUAAACAGAAUAAUAGUUUUGCUUCAGUGGGAAAAUCGAGGCCCAGAGUUGAGGUCUGUCUCUCUUCGCAGCUCUGAAAGGCUUUUUAACUCUUCCAAGCGGGGUUUGCAGCCUGACGGGGCUGCUCUGCAAGCCCACCCGACAGGUCCCAAAUCUGGUGGGAUUCAGGAGAAA
Molecule: long non-coding RNA, 1303 nt
Filed under: Anser brachyrhynchus (Pink-footed goose)
Lineage: Eukaryota; Metazoa; Chordata; Aves; Anseriformes; Anatidae
Description: lncRNA (ENSABRG00000001556.1)
Source: RNAcentral